This 224-nucleotide unclassified non-coding RNA is filed under the name Hevea brasiliensis (rubber tree). Lineage: Eukaryota; Viridiplantae; Streptophyta; Magnoliopsida; Malpighiales; Euphorbiaceae. The record is from RNAcentral.
GCGACAAGUACUUUGGACUGUCAUCUUCCGGAGUAACAUUUAAGUCAAGCUCUUCCUCUUUUAGUAGCAGUGGCAACUUUCAGAGUAGUGAUCGCUAUGGAGGUUUUGGAAAUAAAAAUGAUGGAAAUUCAUUCAAGGAUAGUUACAAGGAAAAGGAUCGGUAUGGUGAAGAUAAGGUUGACCGAAGUACUUUUAAAUCAAAAAAGGGGUCAUCUCAUUAUGGC